Schistocerca nitens (vagrant locust) is the source of this 73-nucleotide non-coding RNA. Lineage: Eukaryota; Metazoa; Arthropoda; Insecta; Orthoptera; Acrididae. The record is from the annotation of a RefSeq genome assembly.
GUUUCCGUAGUGUAGCGGUUAUCACAUCUGCUUCACACGCAGGAGGUCCCCGGUUCGACCCCGGGCGGGAACA